Apis mellifera (honey bee) is the source of this 558-nucleotide long non-coding RNA. RefSeq lists it as uncharacterized. Lineage: Eukaryota; Metazoa; Arthropoda; Insecta; Hymenoptera; Apidae. The transcript has 2 exons. The record is from RefSeq and is a predicted model, not a curated record.
UCCGAUCGCGUUGAGCGAGUCUUGGAGAUUGUUUCGAUUCAUUUUGAUCUUGGAGAGGAAUCGAUUAUACAUUCCAUUUUGACCAAGCUUUGGAAAAUGUUUGACGGGUUGUUAUUCUUUUUUUAAAUUAUAAUUCAGUUCUUUAAUUCAGUUUUCAGAAAAAUAAUUCAAAAUUGAUCGAAAUUGAUAGGGAAUAUGAAUUCCUGUUGAAGAAGUGAAAUUUCAAGAUGAAGUUAAGAGAUGUUAUUUCCUGUUUAUAUUAUAUCUUUAACGGGAAUUAAUAUUAUUGGGGAAAAUUAAGGAACAAUCAGGAAAUUACAUGAAACGAUAAGAACUGAUAUACGUGAAAGAUACCUUCUUAGCCAGAUACAUUCGACUGUAUUUGAUUACUAUUGCAUAAUCCCGUCGUAAUUUCUAAUGCAAUCUUCGUUGCGCAAUUUCGAAAAUAUUAUUAAAUGCAAUCUUAUCUGUGUAAUGGGCGAUCCUCAUCCUCAACAUUCGAUUAACAACAUUCUCGAUUCACUGGUUUCAAUUUUAAGUUUCAAAUUUUAUUGUUUA